Molecule: non-coding RNA, 462 nt
Organism: Cinara cedri
Lineage: Eukaryota; Metazoa; Arthropoda; Insecta; Hemiptera; Aphididae
Source: the annotation of a GenBank genome assembly
UUUUGACGUAAUCUCAUACGUUGUAACGUGCGGUUUCUUUCAGAAUUUUUUAAUGUGUUGUUUUUUAACAAAUUUCCAAUACAGUAAUCGUUGACGUACAUUCGCUGUCACGUUGAGGUACGCAAGUAUCUUGUAAUUCGAGUAUUUCGGUUGCUCGACCCGUUUGCCCUCAGCUCGAACCGUGCAAAAACGUGACUGGUCCGUCCGCUAACAGCGCCGUCGAUACACGGGCCGUCUUCUGUACACCGUCGCUCCGCAGACUUCAGACGCCGUCACAACUCCGUUACCGUCUGCAGUUACAGCUCAGCAUCGUUUAACGACAGCUUCAUCGGACCACAGGGACGCCAGAAAGUUCCCGCACCCCUUGACACAUGACAUUACGUAUAUAUGUAUAUUGUUUUCUUUUCAUAUUAAAUAUACCUAUUCUUUUUUACUAAAAUAAUCCAUGUUUAUAGAUAGAAA